This 986-nucleotide long non-coding RNA is filed under the name Junco hyemalis (dark-eyed junco). Its description in RNAcentral is "lncRNA (ENSJHYG00000017786.1)". The record is from RNAcentral. Lineage: Eukaryota; Metazoa; Chordata; Aves; Passeriformes; Passerellidae.
AAAACAUUAAGGGGCGGAAAGCAGCACAUUUGGGUUAAAAAACAAGUUUUCUUUUCUCUCAGUCACUGUAACAGCUAGGAGGGCUCUUGGGUGGAGGGUGAAUGAUGAGCAACACUUGACCAAGUGACUGCACACUGCACUUGUAUACACACUGCAAGAACUCCACAGACCUCAUUGGAUCUAUUCAUUUGGCACUCAUAACAAGAUGAUGGGUACCCAAGUCCUAAUCUUACAAAUACCUGCAGUGCUGGAGUUGAGUUGUGAAGAGAUCUGCCUGGGGACCCUCUAGCAGCGGAUAAUGUAUGUGAAGGGAGGACAAAGUGCAAGGAUACCUCCAACCUUCCCAUUCAGUGAAAAAGAAUUUGAGUAGGGGCAGUAUCACCAGCCAUGCCCCUGAAAGGAAAGCCCUCAGGUGUGUGAUGGGAGAUCAGAUCAGUUAUGUGAUCGGAGAAACAGACUGGAGAACAUUUAAGAAAGAAAAGCUAAACUACAAAAGUGCAACAGGCAUGGCUCUUAUUGCAAUCAAAUCCUCCAAAUCCAGUAGAACAGAACUGAAGCUCUUAAGAAGCCAAAGAAUACUUCUGAAUUUCCAUCGUUCCCUGAAGCAAGCACCAGAGCCCAGCAAAGAAACAUUUCUCACCUCAAAAGAACUGGGCAGGGAAGGGAGACCUACGUACCACAAAUUGUCAGAAAACUCGAAUCUGUAGUACUUGUACUAUGGGAAGGAAGAGGGGAAAGAAGAGCAAAAUGCUUCCUCACAUGACAGGAUGAUUAGAGGUGUGCAUGAAGGAGAAAGGAGGGCUUGAUGCUCAGCUAGGUUAAUCAGCUCUGAUUAAAACACUUGGAUGUACAGUCCAAUGAAUUCUGAGUGUGUCUGCCCAUUUGUAUGUCCAGCUCUGCCUGAGGUUACAUCAGUUUAGCACAGCUGUCCAGUUGAAACUGUACUGCACAGCAGCAAUAAACAAACAAAGCCCCUGAGCUUUCCA